AGAGAGUUAAAAUAGAAAUAUGCUUGAUUUAAUGCGGCACAAAAAUGGAGGAGAAUUUUCCUCCACCAGCGACGGCGUGCCCCAAGCGGCAGCACGGUGCCCAAGGAGGGCGAUGACACACUACUUGAGGUGGCAGUGUGCCGCACCUGGCUGGCACGCAUUGCAGACCUAGCCUAUAGGCACCAAGCUACCCUGCCGCAUGCGUAGGCUUGCUGCACGGACGGCGCGCGCACAAUGUGUAGUGUCUAGCCCUUAUCUGUGCGUGUCAUACGGGGUCUACUUACGUGUGACAAGACGUGCGCAUAGGUCUAGCUCCGUGCCUUGCACAGAUGGAACGUAAGCAUUAUGUGCACGUCCUGCGCCUGUCGCGCAUGGUGCCGGGGCGACAACCAUCUCCCGUGGGAUUUUUCCCCCUCUUUCAUUUUCUCUUAAAAAUCAAUGAUUUAAAAUAAUAGCAAUAAUAAAAA
This 467-nucleotide long non-coding RNA is filed under the name Carica papaya (papaya). RNAcentral's name for it is "long non-coding RNA (CPAP_LNC005125)". Lineage: Eukaryota; Viridiplantae; Streptophyta; Magnoliopsida; Brassicales; Caricaceae. The record is from RNAcentral.